GAUGAACGCUGGCGGCGUGCCUAAUACAUGCAAGUCGAGCGAACAGACGAGGAGCUUGCUCCUCUGACGUUAGCGGCGGACGGGUGAGUAACACGUGGAUAACCUACCUAUAAGACUGGGAUAACUUCGGGAAACCGGAGCUAAUACCGGAUAAUAUAUUGAACCGCAUGGUUCAAUAGUGAAAGACGGUUUUGCUGUCACUUAUAGAUGGAUCCGCGCCGCAUUAGCUAGUUGGUAAGGUAACGGCUUACCAAGGCAACGAUGCGUAGCCGACCUGAGAGGGUGAUCGGCCACACUGGAACUGAGACAUGGUCCAGACUCCUACGGGAGGCAGCAGUAGGGAAUCUUCCGCAAAGGGCGAAAGCCUGACGGAGCAACGCCGCGUGAGUGAUGAAGGUCUUCGGAUCGUAAAACUCUGUUAUUAGGGAAGAACAAAUGUGUAAGUAACUAUGCACGUCUUGACGGUACCUAAUCAGAAAGCCACGGCUAACUACGUG
Molecule: ribosomal RNA, 497 nt
Filed under: uncultured bacterium
Lineage: Bacteria
Description: partial 16S ribosomal RNA
Rfam family: Bacterial small subunit ribosomal RNA
Source: RNAcentral